AUAAAAUAGCUUAGCUGGUAAACCCAUGUGCUAUUUGCAGACGAAAAGCGACAUGCAGACGACUAUUUCUUAAGCUUUAAGUAGUAAAAUUCGUGCUCGAUGAUUGUUAUAAAUAAGAUGAUAUAAGAGAAAACAUUUUGAAAAUCAUACACAGGAUAAUAUCUCUUCAUGCCCGAACAUAGGAUGGAGGCGGGGAAUCCACCGUUUGACGAAGUUUUAGGUACUUACAAAAUGGAGGACGAACUACGUGUGACGGGUCACUCGCCCCAAUCUGACGUGAACGAGGAUUAUCCGCUCUCACACGGAUGGGUGCCUUCCCACCAGCAGUACAGCAAGGGGCUGCACCCCCUCGGUGACCCUAUUGGGCUCUCAGACGACAGCCGCAGUAGCUCCGAUCUCACCGAGAUGAAGACGGCGUCCCCCGCGACCGCCCUUGCAGCCGUCACCUACGAGACCGGCUCGCACAGCCUCACGAGCCACUCGCCGCAGGCAUACCAUCACACGGGAAUCAUCAACAGUCCGAUCGCAAUUCACCCUGCAUGUUCACCGGUUCCUCCCCUCGGUUGCAAUGACAAUAAUAGUAACGCGCCGGUCGACUGUCAGACCAUGUAUUAUUCAUCAUAUGACAAUGCGCCGACGUCAGUGUGCCCACAGAAUCAGCCAUAUGAGUACCCAUACUACAUAACAGGAACCGGCUUCUACCAAGGAUCGCCCGACAGCUCAACCGGAAGUUACCCUGACAACUCCCCGCCCGGAUAUGACAGCGAGGACAGCGUAGAACUCCCGAAUAUGGCGACCACUUGCAUGCAAAGCCCACAUCCACAUAUCUAUUCUCAAUUCAACACCGGAAGUCUCGUCUACAACAACAUCCCGUGCAUGGACAAGCUAGACUCAGAUAAGUCCCCCAACAAGCGGGGCCGUCCCUGCACGUUCCUGAAGAGAAGUCAUCAGAAGCACGCCGCCUUGUCAAAGAUGUCUUACAUGGACUCGACCCCCGACGACGACCUGGGCGGAUCAUACAAUCAAAACCAGCGCUGUAAGCGAGGCGCUAAGAACAUCCUGCUGUGGAAGUUCCUGCUGGAGGAGUUGCGGAAUUCGGGGGUGCGGAGUGCGCACAUCAAGUGGGAGAACGAGCAGGAAGGCACCUUCAAGUUCGUUGACACGACGGAGUGCUCCAGGCGUUGGGGGCAGAUGAAAAAGAAGGCCGACAUGAACUUCGAAAAGCUUAGUCGUGGCAUUAGGCAUUACUACCGCGACGGACUCAUGUCCAGAAAAGACGGCAUUCGAUUGGUGUACAAGUUCAACUGGGAGCACGUGCCGCUCAAAUAUAGGCCAACUGGACAAGUCCGAUACAUGUGAACUCAUAGGGCACUAUGUUAUGAUGCCGUUGGCUUCAUCUUAACAUGAGACUGUGCUGCUAACGGGAUGUGUCGAAACUAUAGCAACCAUUCCCAUUAAAUCGUGUUCCGUCAUAUGCAGACUUUUUGUCAAAGGAACCAGUGCCAUACUAAAGCAAUGUUUUAUUCUUUAAUUGUAUUGUAGUGUUAUGUUUUGAAACAAAAUUGCAAUGUUAUUUAAUUGUAACAGUUCAUGUUGCUACUAAACGUUCAUUUGGUUAAAAAAAACAUUGUAAUCAGUUUUAAACAAGGUUUCAAUUGUUCAGAUGUUGCAAUAUACGCUUUGACAACUGCUCAUUAUGUUGUUGAGAGCUUAAAUCGACAACCCACUUAUCAUUUAAGUGUAUUCAUUGUUAUGAAUAGAGUAUCCAUGGUCACCAUGUUUGUAGCUGUUUACUCGUAAAAGUUUAUUUCCAAAAAACAAUUACAACAAAACACUUGUAGGUUAAGAGCAACCAUAAAGUCUUACCAAGCCCUUACCCACAACCUAAUAAUUUGUUAUUGUACAUAUAAUACUCUUUGUUUAUUAGGAUGGUAUUAGCUUUUAGGUUGAUAUAAUUUUCCACAUAUUAAUUGCAAUAUUGUCAUAAAACUGAAAACAACACUAUUUUACGGGAAUAAAUUAGGCAUUUUGUAAAACAUUUUUAAUGCGAUUGAGGAAGACUCGUCAACAAAACGGAAUUUAUAAAAAGUCAAAUGUAUGGGUUCUGAAUGUUAUUUAGCUCCUUUAUAAACACUUAAAUUAAUAGUUCAUUUUGAAAGAAAGUCGGAAAAUUGGAUUUUCGUCAAUUUGUUAACAGGACCCUUACAGGUGCUUAAAAUGCUUGAAAACAACCGGGGAAUCAGAAAAAUGUAUCAAUUUUGAUCGAGCCUAUUGGCCAUAACAGAAGGAUAGCAUUUAAGAAUCAUGUUUUAUUUUAAAAUAUAUAAUUUAUGUUAUCCUUAAUUAGAAUAAUUUAAAUUUGAAAAUUAAUAAUUAUAGACUUGUUGAACUAAUUGCCUUGCUAUACCUUCCAACUGAUUAGUCCAAAGAUCUAUUCCUUACAUAUCGCAUCUUAUUGAAGCAGUUCUGAUGUAACCUAACCUUUUGAGGACUGAUGAAAACAAGUUAUAUCCUCAAGUAACUAAACUUUAUGUAGAUCUCUACACAUUUUGGUAAUAUUCUAUGCAACACAUGUACCGCUUCAUAGUCUCAGCAAAUACAUAUAUAUUUUAAUAUACUUCUAUAGUUUUUUUAUACUAUUUUUUAGUUUGAAAAUAAGAUGUGUAUAUAAAAUUAUUUUAGAUAAUAUAUAUUUCUGUCAAAGUAUUUAUUUUUGUUUUGCAUUGAUCAUUCUAUGUAUGACUAUUUAUGUCGUUCCAACUUUUGUCUGCUUUUUGACUUGUUCAUUAGCUUGAUAUUGGCGUAAUUAUCAGUCAAAACCUAUUUAUUAAUGUAUACAUGUAUGAUGCAUUUUUGUUUAACUUAUGAUAUUUAUAAACGCUUUUAGUGUUUUCACGUGCAUUAAAUGCAGCUAAAUGUAAUGUCGGAAAAGUAUUCAACUGUUGUUUUCGAUAUGUAUAUGUUUUACAAGAGAUAACAGCUCCCCAUGGUGAGAAAAAACAAACCGGGCCAUUUUUUAUUGUUUCUCUUUUCGAAAUUGUAUAUACUAUAAUUUGGUUCUAUUAUGGAAUUUAUUACAAUGUCAACAUUGAAUAAAUUAUAUACAGUUUUUUAAACCAAAUUAUUUCCAUUUAUUUAUUAAUAAACUUCAUUUGUUUAAAAUAUUUGUAAAUAAAACAUGAAGUUUUUUUAACAAGGUAACAAGUCAGACUUGUGCAUAUAAAUAACUUAACAAAACUACAUGUACUUAAACCGGAGUUUUGAUCUUUGCGUGCAGUAAUGUGAACACUCUACGCGAUCAUUCAAUUGUCACUAAAUAUUUCUACAUUAUAAUACCUCCCACUUUAGAUAUUGUGUUUUAAAACGCAGUAUAGUUUACAACCACUGAACUAACGCACUAUCUUAGCGUCAGGUUGAGUCAUGGGUAUUUCGGGACCAAACUACUUGUGAGCGAUUUAUCCGUCUGUGAUUUGAUAAAAUGCACUUCUUUAAUGUAAUUAUAUUUUUUUGCAAUGCGCGAUGCAAGUCGUGUCUAUUUUUGGCAAAUGUUUGACGUUUGGUUCGUUUCGGGAAACCUUUCUGAGACUUCAAUAACAUCACCAUUUGCUAUAUUUGCUGAAUCUCGCUGUGCUCGUGUGGUUUUAAACACAUAAAAUUUAAUGUUACGUCAGGAUGAAAUUAUUAUAACUAUUCUCUUACCUACAUUUUUAUCAUUUCAUGUAUCUUUUAAGAUGCUUAUGUUUGUUCAUUUGUUGAUGUUUUUUUUAACUAAUUUUAAUGUAAAUAUAAUGCUGUAUUUGGCAUACAUUUUGGAAUCAUUAUGUAAAAUAAUGCAAUGCAUCUUAGAGGACCUUAAAUACUUAUGCUCACUUUCGCAUGAACGACACUUUCCGCUCGAUGCUAUUUUGAGUUUCGAGGAAGUCCCUCCUUACCGAAAAUCAAGUUCAGGCGGAAAGUGUCGUCCCUGAUUAGCUUGUGCGGACUACACAGGCUAAUCUGGAACGACACUUUUCGCACAUGCAUUAUGCCCAGUUUUGGAAAUUUUCGUUUUAAAAUAGUCUAAUCUAAAUGAAAAUACUGUCUACGCGGAAAGUGUCGUCCCGGAUAAGCCUGUGCGGACUGCACCGGCUAAUAUGGGACGACACUUUGCGCAUAUGCAUUAAAACCUGUUUUGCAAUAGUUUUUUUUAUUUGUAAUUUGAUGUUUAAUGGGACUGGUUUUUUAAUGUAAUCCCUGUGUGGAGUAAAACCAAUCGAGCUUUUUAAAACCGAAAACUCUUGGAAAUACCCUGGGAUUUGAUAGGGGGCUUUCGACAUGACUAGCUUUUAAUACAUGUGCAAUGUGUGAUUGCCAGUCGCUGUCGGGGCUCGAUAUCGUUGCUCUCACCUAACAUGCCGUCCAGACUGGUGUCAGUAAUACAACACUGUUAUGUAUUGUCAAAUUUGUAUUCAUGUUUCCAGAUAUGAUAAUGAUAUACUGAUACAAUGCCAGAAUAAUAAUAAUAGUAAUAAUAAUAAUAAUAAUAUUAAUAAUAAUAUUAAUAUAAUAAUAAUAAUAAUAAUAAUAAUAAUAAUAAUCAUAAUAAUAAUAAUAAUCAUAAUAAUCAAAAUAAUAAUACUAUGCAGAACAUGUUUUCUGUGUCUAUUUUCUUUCGUAUUUCAAGUCUCAUUCAUGUAAUUGCAGUGUUAUGUAAUACAUGUACCUUUGUUAUACUGAUGUUAUCAUGUGCUUACAAUCUACUACUUUCUGGUGCUUGUUUUUGUUGUAUUUAACAAUUUCCGUAGGUCGGAUAUAUGCAAUAUUUGUUAAAAUACUUUGAAAUGUAUGUGUUCAUAUAUAUCGACAAUUGUGUUCAUUGAUUUACCUACUAAUACUUCAACAGAUGUUAUUUUGCAAAAUUAUUUGUAUUAAAAUUUUGUUAAAAAAGUAUUUGUUAUUUUUAAUAUGUAUAUAGUUUAUGACAUAUUUGAAUAAAAAUAUAGUUAAAUAUGA
This is an RNA transcript of Dreissena polymorpha, 4992 nucleotides long. It is a transcript of the gene named ETS-related transcription factor Elf-3-like, with no coding region annotated. The record is from RefSeq and is a predicted model, not a curated record. The transcript is spliced from 8 exons. NCBI's taxonomy places the organism in Eukaryota, Metazoa, Mollusca, Bivalvia, Myida, Dreissenidae.